GUGAAUCAUCAAAUUUUUGAACGCAUAUUGCACUCUCUGGUAUUCCGGGGGGUAUGCCUGUUUGAGGGUAAUGAAAAAGAAUCAAUAACCACUUCUUUUUGGUCAAAGGAAAUGAGCUCUCCGCGUUUAUAGCGGUAGCUUGAAAUAAAUGGUUAAGUCUCAUCUUAGUCGAGAUGCGUAAUAAUAUUAUUUCGCGAAAUCUUCUCUCG
Molecule: unclassified non-coding RNA, 209 nt
Filed under: Ambisporaceae sp.
Lineage: Eukaryota; Fungi; Glomeromycota; Glomeromycetes; Archaeosporales; Ambisporaceae
Description: partial contains 5.8S ribosomal RNA and internal transcribed spacer 2
Rfam family: 5.8S ribosomal RNA (bases 1-71)
Source: RNAcentral